This 460-nucleotide ribosomal RNA is filed under the name uncultured bacterium. Its description in RNAcentral is "partial 16S ribosomal RNA". It matches the Rfam family "Bacterial small subunit ribosomal RNA", at positions 338 to 795 of the family's 1533-position model. The record is from RNAcentral.
CCUACGGGAGACAGCAGUGAGGAAUAUUGGUCAAUGGGCUUACGCCUGAACCAGCCAAGUCGCGUGAGGGAAGACUGCCCUAUGGGUUGUAAACCUCUUUUGUCAGGGAGCAACGCCGGCUACGUGUAGCCGGACUGAGAGUACCUGAAGAAAAAGCAUCGGCUAACUCCGUGCCAGUGGCCGCGGUAUUACGGAGGAUGCGACCGUUAUCCGGAUUUAUGGGGUUUAAGGGGUGCGUAGGCGGAAGGCUAAUACAGCGGUAAAAUCGCGGGGCUCAACCUCGCUCCGCCGUUGAAACUGGCGUUCUUGAGUGGGCGAGAAGUAUGCGGAAUGCGUGGUGUAGCGGUGAAAUGCAUAGAUAUCACGCAGAACUCCGAUUGCGAAGGCAGCACACCGGCGCCCAACUGACGCUGAAGCACGAAAGCGUGGGUAUCGAACAGGAUUAGAUACCCUAGUAGUC